This 4146-nucleotide long non-coding RNA is filed under the name Nicotiana benthamiana. Its description in RNAcentral is "long non-coding RNA (NBEN_LNC010726)". The record is from RNAcentral. Lineage: Eukaryota; Viridiplantae; Streptophyta; Magnoliopsida; Solanales; Solanaceae.
AAACAGCCUCUCUACCCCAGGGUAGGGGUAAGGCUGCGUACACACUACCCUCCCCAGACACCACUGAGUGGUAUUGUACUGGGUCGUACUUUUUUUUUGUCCAAUCCAUAACAAAAACUUGAAGAAGCAGUACUACAUCUCAAUGGAAGGGUAGAGGCAUGGUACUUUUCCUAUCAUUUAAGCAAAGAAAAUGUUAGAUGGCCAGAGAUUAGCAAAGAAAUCUGUAAGAGGUUCUAAGAUGCAGACAACAGUAAACUCAAUCUCAUUGGUGAAUUUAAGACGAUAGAGCAGAAAGGAACAGUAAAUGAAUACUUGGAAAAGUUUAAGGAUCUAAAGGCUUGGGUUCUCAUAAGAAGCCCUACACAAUACCAGAGGAAUUCUUUCUAGAAUUCUUUAUAGAGGGCCUUACGAAAGAUAAAAAGGCAUACAGUGAAAAUGUUGAACACUUAUAACCUACGCCAAGCUGUAGAAAAAGCUAGGAAUCAAGAAAGGGUAAUUGAGACUUGGAAUAAGAAAGGAAAAGCUACUUGAGGUAGAGGAUCAACCUGAGGAAUCACCAAACAAACACUAGCAAUCCAACUAUGGGUGACAAAGGAGCAAGUUCAUCAAAUUAUUCCGCUCAACGAAACAAGGGUUUUGAUAACGGGAGGAAUAAUGGGUUGUGCUGGAAAUUUAGGGACAAAUACUUCCCUGGUCAUGUGUGCAAGCAAAAACAAAUCAAUGUUAUGGUUGCUGCUGAAGACCAGACUAUAGUGGAAGCAAUGGAAGGUGACACUGUAGAAGAAAGAAACCCAAACAAUCAAGCAGAGGAAGAAGUCAUGGAUGAGGCUAUCAGCCUCAAUGCUCUCUCUAGGAUUGAGGUCCCAAACAUAAUUAAACUAAAAAGUUAAGUCCAAGAGGAAUUCAGUAACUAUCUUGUUGGACUCAGAAAGCACCAUAGCUUCCCGGACGUAGAAACUGUUAAGAAUAUACGGUGCAAGAUUAUAGAGUCUGGUCCUAUAAAGAUCACUAUAGCAAAUGGUAAUUACCUCAUGAGUAGCAUACCUGCUACAAGCUCAAAUGGGUAAUCCAAGGAGUGGAGUUUGAGGACUCUAUGAGAUUAGUAAUAUUAUGAGGAAAUUAUAUGAUACUAGGAGGAGAUUGGAUGAAAGGUCAUAAUCCAGUGCUACUAGAUUUUGUGGAGUACAAGGUUCAGGUAACUCACAAAGGAAAGAGAGUGGAGCUCAAGCGAAUUUACAUCUAAGAGGAACUUAAGACCAUGUCAGUCACUGGAGUCAAACACCUGUUGAAGAAGGGAAAAUCUAUCUGGGCUCACCUAUUUACUUUAACUGUAGAAGAAGUGGAAGACCAGGAGCAGGUACCUGUAGUGAUACAACAGGUUCUGAAGCAGUUCUUUGAUGUGUUUGAGGAGCCAACAAGCCUUCCACCCAAGAGGGAUCAUGACCAUUAUAUUUCCCUGAAACUUUACACAACACCAUUCAGCAUAAGGCCUUACAGGUAAAAAUUGAGAAACAUGUUAAAUGAGAUGCUAGCUAACGGAAUAAUACAACCUAGUCAUUCCCCUUUUUCUUCAUCAAUAUUACCAGUUAAGAAGAAAGAUGGAAGUUGGGGGUACUGUAUUAACUAUAGAGCCCUAAAUAACAUGAUUGUUAGGGACAAAUUUUCCACUUCACUAGUUGAUGACUUAAUGGAUGAGUUACAUGGGUCUUGUAUCUGGUCUAAAAUUGACUUAAGGGCUGGUUACCACCAAAUCAAAAUGGGGAAAGAGGAUGUGUAUAAAACAACUUUUUAGAACACAUUUGGGGCACUAUGAGUUCAAAUAUGCCCAAGGUUAUGCCCUUUGUUAUAACCAAUGCCCCUGCUACAUUCCAAUACCUCAAGAACCAUGUGAUUAGAGCAUAUUGAGAAAGUUUGUUCUGAUUUUCUUUGAUGAUAUCUUAGUCUAUAGUGCCUCACUAAUUGAACAUAAACAUCAUCUUGAAAGGGUGUUGGAAUUACUGAGGGAUGUGCAACUCUUUUCCAAGCUUUCUAAGUGCUCUUUUUGACAGUCCAAGGUAGAAUAUCUUGGGCAUAUUAUCACUGGAGAGGGUGUAGCUACAAAUCCCUCUAAAAUAGAGGCAAUGACUAAUUGGCCUAUUCCUAAAUCCAUCAAGGCUAUAAGGGGAUUUCUGGGCCUAAAAGGAUAUUACAUGAGGUUUAUAUAAUCUUAUGGUGUCAUCAGCAGACCCUAACUAGUCUACUAAAGAAAAAUUCUUUCCAGUGGUCUGCAGAAGCUAACGUUGCCUUCCUGGCAUUGAAACAAGCCAUGUCUUUUGCACCUGUAUUAGCCCUGGCAGAUUUUACAAAAACCUUUGUUGUGGAGACUGGUGCUUGCUCAACAGGGAUGGCUGUGCUAAUGCAAGAAGGCAAACCUCUUGCAUUCUUUAGUAAGGCUUUGGGACCUAAACACACAGGCUUGUCUACUUAUAAAAAGGAGUACAUAGUUGUUCUAUCAGCUAUAGAUAAGUGGAGACACUAUCUACAGGGAGGGCAAUUUAUUAUUAAAAUAGAUCACCAAAGCUUAAAGUACCUUCUAGCGCAAAGGAUGACCACUGAUUUCCAACAAAAAGGUUUGUCCAAGAUACUUGGGUUAUUAUAAAGUGCAGUACACAAAGGGAAUAGAGAACAUGGUUGCAGAUGCACUAUCUAGAAGAGAGGAAUAAGAUCCCUCCUUAUGUGCCAUCACUACUACCAAUCCAAUUUGGAUGGAGGAGAUUGCACAGAGUUAUGAACAUGAUCCUAUGUCCUUACAGUUAAAAACUGAAUUGAUCACCAACCUCAACAAAUCGGACUUUUCCUUACAUCAAGGUAUUAUCGGAUAUAAAUAGAAAAUUCGGGUGAGAAGAAAUGUUGAUCUUAGGACCAAGAUCUUUGAGGUGUUCCAUCAAUCACCCUUGGAUAGUCACUCUGGUCAGCAAGGGAUUUACAGGAGAGUUUAAAUAGGUUUCUACUGGCCAAAGAUGAAAGAAGAUAUACAGAAAUGGGUAGUUGAAUGUGAUGUAUGUCAUAGGGUGACGACUGAACAUGUGCAUUACCUAGGCCUAUUACAAACUAUGCCCAUCCCUGGAAGUUGCAUGUGUUCUUAAAGGAGAUAUAUAAACUACAUGGAUUACCCUAGUCCAUAGUAACAAACAGUGGUCCCCUGUUCACUAGUCAGUUCUGGCAAUAAAUGUCUAAAUCCAUGGGGACUAAGCUCAACAUGUCUACUUCCUAUCAUCCCUAGUCAGAUGGUCAAACAGAGAGGUUUAAUAGGUGCCUAUAGAGCCAUAAUUUUCUAUAUUCCUAAACACUGGCUUAAGUGGCUUCCACUAGCUGAGUGGUGGUUCAAUACUAACUACCACACAUCCCUUAAGACCACUCCAUUUGAGGCUCUUUAUGGAUACCAACUCCAUCAAAUACACAUGGUUUCCCUACACCAAUCCACUCAUACUACUGUAGGGGGUACACUAGCUCACAGGCAGACUAUGUUACAACAUUUGAAGGAAAAUUUACAGGUGGCUCAGUUAGAAUGAAGUUAUUUGCAGAUAAAAUAGGAGAGACAAAAAUUUAAAUGAAGGAGAUUGGGUUUACUUAAAGCUACAACCCAACAUACAAGCUUCAGUGGAAGUCAGAAAGAAUUUGAAACUAAGUGCUAAAUGCUUUGGACCCUAUAAAAUCACACAGAAAAUAGGUUUAGUGUCUUACCGCUUAGAGCUGCCAGCAGGCUCUCAAAUUCACCCAGUGUUCCACGUAUCUCAACUCAAGAAAUGCAUAGGACCACAUGUGCCUACUCAGCUCCAACCUCUUAUCUAUGGACAAGAUGGCCGCUUGAUGGUUCAAUCAAUGGCCAUCCUUCAGAGACACAUCGUCAAGUUGAAUAAUGCAGCAACAGCAAGGUUCUUGUUUAGUGAUCAAAUCUUGGAGCUGAUAAGCAACUUGGGAUGAUUGAGGGUAUAUCAAAAGCCAGUUUCCUGACUUUGUUGCUCAACUCCGGCCUUGAGGACAAAGCCGAUUUGAACGGAAUGGUAGGUUAUCUCUAAAUUGGGAAAUGAAUGAAAUUAGGGUUUAGAUUUGGAAAGUGAGCUGAACAAUAGGUUUAAAAGAUAGAAAUGAGAAGGGCGACGUGGC